This 5408-nucleotide long non-coding RNA is filed under the name Sus scrofa (pig). Its description in RNAcentral is "lncRNA (ENSSSCG00060053547.1)". Lineage: Eukaryota; Metazoa; Chordata; Mammalia; Artiodactyla; Suidae. The record is from RNAcentral.
AAUGCAAUUGAAAUUUAUGCCCACAAAGUAGGGGAGGAGCUUGAUACAUUUUAAAAUAAAACUUAAUUGUUGUACAAGAUUAAAUUUUGAAAUUCUAAAAUUACUCUGGGCUAUCUCAAUUAGCUAAAAGAAACUUUUAAUAAAAAAUCUAAAUUUCAAUUGGAUAACUUUAUAUGUUAUAUGAGAAUAAAAUGAAAUUAAGUGCUUUAUUUUGUAAUAUCUAAUUUUGGCUAAGGGUUCAAAAUAAUCAUAAGUAAACACAACUUAAUUGAUAAGAUUUGUCAUAUGCAUCAAAGAAAGCUUCUCUGGAUGAAGACAAAAAGAAAGUAUACCUGUGGAAAUAUUUGUUUUGUAAUAUUUACGUAUUUUAAUACACAAUCUUAGAAUUGAUGCUACUCUGUACUUAGCAGAAUUUUCUCAGACUUUACAUCUUGACAACCAAAGAAAAAAUAUGUUCUUAAUUUAAAAUAUUGGGAUGAAAACUCAACUUCAGUAUAAAAACAAAACAAAAACAACCAGUUUUAAAGAUGGGACUUGAAUACCCACCUCCAGCCCUUUGAGGAUAUACAAAAAGGAUAUAAAAAGAUGCUUAAUAUCACUCUGCAUCAGGGAAAUGCAAGUCGAAACCACAGUGAGAUAUCACCUCCCACCCUUUAGGAUGCUACUAUCAAAAUAACAACUAUUGUUUGAUUCCACUUAUUUGAGGUUCCUAGAGUAGUCCAAUUCAUAGAGACUAAAGCAGAACAGGGGUUGCCAGGGAAAGGGUGGUGGGAGCAACUUAUUUGAUGGGUAUAGAAUUUCAGUUUGGAGUCAUCAAAAAGUUCAGGAGAUGGAGAGUGGUGAUGGUUGUAGGAUACUGUGAACAUACUUAAUUCCACUGAAUGCUUCACUUAAAUGAUCAAUGGUAUAUCAUGCAUAUUUUAGCACAAUAUAAACGUUUAAACAUUUUUUUCAAACUUGAGAUCUACAGAGGACAGCCAAUUAUUUUCCAAGUUAUUAACCAUGAAAUGCUAACAUUUCUAGUUCAAAUUCUAUGUGCCAGGGUCCAAACACAAUCUGGGGAAUGCAUAUUAGUAAUCCACAGUUGGUAGGUAAUAAAACAUACGGAGGUUAAGAAUUUGCCCAGGAAUAUACCUCUGGUAGGGAGUGAGCUUGGACUCAAAUGUGAGCAGGCUGCCCCGUCCGUGUCCCUCCUGGCGUUUGACAUUCUCCAGCCCGAGUCUAUAAAACGUUAAUCCAAGACCACACACGUGGUUAGUAUUUUUUCACUUACACAUUUUCCCCACCAAAUUGUAGCUGUAACGCAUGAAAGAAAUCCAAGAAAUAUAUUGUCAUUUUCUGUAACAGUGUCGUCUUCAUCUGUCAUAAAAGUAGGGGACAGAGAGGUUUCCUUCAAGCCCAACCCCGCCUGAAAUAAGGUGACUAUAUUAAACAGGGCAGGAAAUCAUAAGACCUCCGUUACACAUGCAGCAAUAGAGCCGCCAGCUAGGUAAAGAAUUUUCACCAUGAAAAUACAACCUUGCUUUGCAUCAUGUACAUUGUGCAUCAUGAGCAUUAUGGAACAACUGUAUCACUAUCAAUGAUGACACGUUCUAACUGCACACGCUUCCAGCUUUCCAAGGUAUCGCUUCAUCUAUUGUCUCUGACUUUAUCCUCAGUGCAACCUUGUGCAAAUGAAGACAAGGGUAUUAAGCAAUUUGCUUAAUGGCAGAUCUGGGAAUAAGAACCAGAUCCUCUUGGGUGUGUUCAAUAAUUACUUGUUUAUAAACUGACCUCUUGGGAUUCUCCCGGAGAAAAAAUGCGAUGAAUCUUAGGCCAGCUCACAGACUCCCUUAUGUCAAUUUAAGUUAAAACAAAGUUACCCAUUUAAAACAUUUUUUGAUUAUGUGAUAAUUUUAUUCAUAAAAUAUCCCCAGUUAUUGUAGUCAAAUUAAGUUAAGAAAUCCAAUCUCAGCUCACGCCUUGAAACCUCAAAUUUUGAAUGGGUUAUGAUGAUCUGUGCCCCAGACAAGCCAUACCAUAAUGUCUGCUCAAUGUAGGCAUAAAUCUUAUUAAAAUAUGAAAGCAAAGGUGAAAGAUAAAUUAAGCAGCGAUAAGAAAAUGCUAUUUUAUUAUUAGAAUAAAAGAAUCAGCUGUAAUGACAACUAAUAAAAAUGAAAAAAGAUACAUGAUUAAAAAACGCUAAAUACUAAUUAUGGGAUCUGAAAAGUUGAAAGAAGAAAAUUCAUAUUAGGUAAAAGCAGAAGGAAGAUCAUUUAUAAAGUCCAUUGGAACAUUUAAAAUCCGGAAAGGAGAUGACUAUACAUGUAAUGAAAUGGAUAUUGGGAAGCCAAUAAAACUAAUGUGGGUAUGAAUUUUCUAAGUGAGAGUUUAGCUUAAAAACUAAUAUUUACUACAGAAUUUUGGCAGAAGUAGGUUUUAUGUACCCAAAUCUGUGGACGAAUCACAUAAUUUCUUUUAAUAAUUCAAAACCAUUGAGACCCAGACAGACUAAUUGAUUAGGCCCAAAUCACACAGUUCGACUGAACCCAGGAGACGCAUAAAGACGCAUCCUAACAUUUUCAGGGCUUGAUAAAGAGGAUGCAGACGCCCACAUACCUCGUGCCCCAGGCCUGGUCCUACCCCUGCUUUUCCCUCCCCAGAUUCCUUCCUGCACCACUGGGGAUACACAUCUGCAUCUGUGAACACUUCAGCCGGCAAGUCGAGAUCUGCCUCCUCCCCUGAACCACCACCUCCUGUGCACCUCUCAGACCUAGAAGCAAGCCACCCCCAUGACACAGGCCAGGAAGGUGGGGCAGAGGAAGAGGCCACGGUGGGCUCUAAAGCUAAGGAGUCUUCCAGUAGGAAAUUCAGGGUCUCAGGUACCCAGAUCACAGGGCAGAAGCUGGGCUUGGCUCUGGGUGGACUCUUCUGCUUGACUCCAGGGGUUCUUCUCACUGCAGCCAGGGGCAGGGCUAGACUACGCCAGAGCAGUUCCUCUCAUGCAUGGCCACUUAGCUAAGCCUUCCUUUCCCAGGCUUAAGAGUGGCACUUUUUAUAAAUGCCGAACAUUCCUAUAGUAUUGUUGGAAACCAAAGCAGUUUCACACACAUGAUAUCACUGGACCUUCCUGGGACCCCCAUGAUAUAGAAAAAACAGGUGUCACUGAGAAAAGUAAGAAGCAGAGAAAAGGACUCAGUUAGAAAGAAGCAGAGCUCAAGUUUCACCCUGUCCACCGCCAUUCUGUUUCUGUUCCUGCCCUUCAAUAACUACCCACAAUGUCACUCUUUAGGGUGGGAAAGCCACCUGCUAGACCACAACCAAAGGGAGGGACCUGAGCCUGAGCCCUCAUCUAAAAAUCUGGCUUCAGGAUUUUGGAAACAUUCGAGGUGAAUAAAGUUAAGAUUCCACAUACCCUGGAGUUCUCUUGUGGCACAGCAGGUUAAGGAUCCAGCAUUGCCACUGCAGCAGCUAGGGUAGAUGCUGUGGCGUGGACGUGAUUCCUAGCCCAGGCAUUUCCACAUGCCCUGGAUGCAGCCAAAAACAAAUAAACAAACAAACAAAGAUUCCGCAUACCCUACCAUAGAUCACUAACUACCUGAGACUUCUUGAGCUGCCAUAACAAAGGACCCUAGACAAGGUGACUUGCAUCACAGAAAUGUAUUUUCUCACAGUUUCAGAGCCUUAAAGGCCAAAAUCAAAGUGUCUGCAGAUUCCAUGAGAGUUCCCUUCUGGGCUGUGGGCAGCUGACGUCUUGCUCUGUCCUCAGGUGCCUGUCCUUCAGGCAUGCAAAGAGAGAGAGAACUCUCAUGUCCAUUCUUAUGAGGACGCUAAUCCUGUGGGGUCAGAGCCCCCUUAUGACUUCAUCUAAUCUUUGUCACCUCUUCACUGGCUUAUCUCCAAAUACAGUCACAUUGGGGGUUAGGGCUUCAGCUUAUUAAUUUUGGGGGGGGGGCGGGGGGAGAUACAGACAUUUCUCGUAAAGCAUUAAUCCAGAUAUACGUUUCUAUUACAAAAGUAGGGUCCAAUACGUCGUCCAUCACCCUAUUCUGCAGGUUCUUUUAUUAGAAUUGAUUAAAUUCCACAAACAAUUGCCUAAGAGCACUUGAAGAGUUUUACACUCUAGAUUGAUCUAUAGAUAACUGCAAACAUGUGUUAAGCGUGGUAUAGACGGGCACAGAACAUUCCUCCUGCUUCUGUCAUGAGCAAAACCUAGCUCCAGACCCCUCCACCUCUACCCAGCAGCCAUGGGUCGGGUGUCUCAGCUGCUGCUGUGUCCCCCAUAACAGGGAUAGACGUACCUGCAGUGAUACCUGCAGUAUCCUUAUAGACAAGUUCUAUUCUGCCAAAAAAUUAAUCAUUCUUUAUUUAUUACAGUCAGAACAUAUGUAUUGCUCCAGAAACUGCCCUAAGUGCUAGGGAUAGAACAACGCGCCAGCCACUGGGUCUGUCCUCGUGAAGCUCACAGUCUACUGAUUACAUAGCAAACGUUUUCCUGAGCCAUGGCAUUCAUGUUUUUGCAGUAAUGUUAUUUCUGCCCAUAUGGCCCAGCUGCAUCAAACUGUCUCCUGAUAUUGGACCCUGAUAAUUUUACAGUAAUGAAGCUGCUACGCUAAAUAACACUGUCCACAUUUUCUGUCAUUUUCUUCCUGAUUUUAGGUUUUAAUAUGGAUUAAUCCUGCUAUCAAUGGAAAUAAGUUUUAACUGACACAAGAGAAUACAUUUUGAACACUGUUAUAACAUGAGUAGAAUAUCUGUCUUUUGCGUUCACAGAAGAAAAUUCGCACGACCAGCUGACUGCACAGUUGUUAAGACGGGAUAUUUUCUUCUCAAGUUUCAAUGGUUGAUUUGCCACUUUUCUCAGGUCUUUAGCUCAAAGCUGCUUGAUUUUGUGCCCUGUUAUUUACUUAUUUGUUUUUUGCCUUUUUCUUGUUAGAGCCGCAACCAUGGCAUAGGGAAGUUCCAAGGCCAGGAGUUGACGCAGAGCUGCAGCUGCACCACAGCCACAGCAAUGCUGGAUUGGAGCCAUAUCUGCCACCCGUGCCAGAGCUCACAGCAACAUCAGAUCCUUAACCCACUGAGCAAGGCCAGGGAUCAAACCGGCAUCCUCAAGGGUAACUAGUUGGGUUCAUUAUUGCUGAGCCACAACAGGAACUCAUUGCACCCUUUUAAUAGUGGCUUUGUUGUUCUGUCUGAAUGCGUUGAAGAUUUAUUUAUUUAUUUAUUUAUUUAUUGUCUUUUUAGGGCCACACCCAUGGCAUAUGAAAGUUCCCAGGUGCAGCCCUAAAAAGACAAAAAAUAAAUAAAUAAAUAAAAUAAACCUACAAAAUUAAAAAAAUUUAAUUUGAAAGUCCAUUUACAUAGACACAUAAAGAAUUACAUCAUUGACCACUGCAAUUGGACAAAGGCUGUCAACUUUAAGCUACCUU